CCUACGGGUGGCAGCAGUGGGGAAUAUUGCACAAUGGGGGAAACCCUGAUGCAGCAACGCCGCGUGGGUGAAGGAGCGUUUCUGCGCGUAAAGCCCUGUCAGCGGGGAAGAAGAAAGACGUUACCCGACCAAGAAGCCCCGGCUAACUACGUGCCAGCAGCCGCGGUAAUACGUAGGGGGCGAGCGUUAUCCGGAAUUACUGGGUGUAAAGGGAGCGUAGACGGGGAGGUAAGCCUGAAGUGGAAGCCCGCGGCCCAACCGCGGAACUGCUUUGGGAACUGUUUUGCUAGAGUGUGGGUGGGGUAGGCGGAAUGCAUGGUGUAGCGGUGAAAUGCGUAGAUAUCAGACAGAACACCGAUGGCGAAGGCGGCUUACUGAACCAUAACUGACGUUGAGGCUCGAAAGCGUGGGGAGCGAACAGGAUUAGAUACCCUUGUAGUC
RNAcentral lists this ribosomal RNA (441 nucleotides) under uncultured bacterium. Its description in RNAcentral is "partial 16S ribosomal RNA". It matches the Rfam family "Bacterial small subunit ribosomal RNA", at positions 338 to 795 of the family's 1533-position model. The record is from RNAcentral.